This is a long non-coding RNA of Bubalus bubalis (water buffalo), 208 nucleotides long. RefSeq lists it as uncharacterized. Lineage: Eukaryota; Metazoa; Chordata; Mammalia; Artiodactyla; Bovidae. The transcript is spliced from 2 exons. The record is from RefSeq and is a predicted model, not a curated record.
CAGUGAUGCCAUCCAAUCAUCUCAUCCCUUCUCCUCCUGCCCUCCUGUGAAUAUGGGUGCGGCCCCAAAGGCAGAAGCCUCCUGGAACCUUCUCAUCUGAGCUGCCUCCAAAUUGGCCCCACCGCGUCCUUUCCCCUCCCCAACCUGACUCAGAUGUUAGAAGACGUGUGUUUGUGCCUCAUUACAAAGAUGGAUUUUUUCAUUCAGC